RNAcentral lists this ribosomal RNA (492 nucleotides) under uncultured bacterium. RNAcentral describes it as "partial 16S ribosomal RNA". It matches the Rfam family "Bacterial small subunit ribosomal RNA", at positions 29 to 507 of the family's 1533-position model. The record is from RNAcentral.
AGUGAACGCUGGCGGUAGGCCUAACACAUGCAAGUCGAACGGCAGCACAGUAAGAGCUUGCUCUUACGGGUGGCGAGUGGCGGACGGGUGAGGAAUACAUCGGAAUCUACUUUUUCGUGGGGGAUAACGUAGGGAAACUUACGCUAAUACCGCAUACGACCUACGGGUGAAAGCAUGGGAUCUUCGGACCUUGCGCGUUUGAAUGAGCCGAUGUCGGAUUAGCUAGUUGGCGGGGUAAAGGCCCACCAAGGCGGCGAUCCGUAGCUGGUCUGAGAGGAUGAUCAGCCACCCUGGAACUGAGACACGGUCCAGACUCCUACGGGAGGCAGCAGUGGGGAAUAUUGGACAAUGGGCGCAAGCCUGAUCCAGCCAUACCGCGUGGGUGAAGAAGGCCUUCGGGUUGUAAAGCCCUUUUGUUGGGAAAGAAAAGCAGCAGGUUAAUACCCAGCUGUUCUGACGGUACCCAAAGAAUAAGCACCGGCUAACUUCGUG